GGGACAUUAACUAACUUACAGUGCCAUCUAGCCCCAUCUAAGACAUAAGACGUCUAUGAGUGGUUGCUAAUUUUGUUCCUGUAACUGGGAGGCUGAGUCACUUCAGCUCUAACCCACCUCCUAGGUCAUGUGCUUGUGGAUAUAAGUGUAUCUUGGAGCACAUCCGUGCAUGCACUGGGAUGUAUUUUUAAAAGUCUGUCCAUGAGCCAUAAACGUAAAUGCCUGACCGGGAGCCGUCCCAGCUGGACAAAUCCUAUGUGCUUCCACGGCCACUCGAGUAAUGUCCGUAGCCAGACAUAUGCUCAUGGCCUGGAAUGAAGUCGACUGCAAUUACGUCCUGAGGGAGUCACUCAACGGGGGUUUUGUGGAGGCAGGACGCAGGCUCUGGUGGAGCUGCACAUGUGCUGUUAGACCUCCAACUGCACUCCCUCUGCCUUCAGCUUUGUGGGAAUGAGGAGCAGCAGGCUCAGAAAUACAGCCAGUCUGGUGCACAUCUGGAGACAGUAAUUGGAGGUGCCCCAUGGCAGGUGCUACAGAGGCGAAAACCAGCGCUCCUGCAGAGACAGAUUAGCAGCACACCAAAUGAUCUCUCUCGUCCUUGUGCACCCCAGAGCCCGGAAACUCCCCCAUCUCUCCAGCCUUGCAGCCCAGCUGUCCCAAACCCCAGGCAGCAGGGAUGGAUAACAGCAGGCUGCUC
RNAcentral lists this long non-coding RNA (697 nucleotides) under Serinus canaria (Common canary). RNAcentral describes it as "lncRNA (ENSSCAG00000001872.1)". Lineage: Eukaryota; Metazoa; Chordata; Aves; Passeriformes; Fringillidae. The record is from RNAcentral.